Molecule: non-coding RNA, 28 nt
Filed under: Bombyx mori (domestic silkworm)
Lineage: Eukaryota; Metazoa; Arthropoda; Insecta; Lepidoptera; Bombycidae
Source: RNAcentral
UACAUUGUAAUUUUAACACAACUUGUUU